ACGACAUCGUGGACGGCAACCACCGCCUCGUCCUCGGCCUCAUCUGGACCAUCAUCCUCCGCUUCCAGAUCCAGGACAUCAUCGUGCAGACACAGGAGGGCCGGGAGACGCGCUCCGCCAGGGAUGCGCUGCUGCUCUGGUGCCAGAUGAAGACGGCGGGGUAUCCCCACGUGAACGUCACCAACUUCACCUCGAGCUGGAAGGACGGGUUGGCUUUCAACGCCCUCAUCCACAGGCACAGGCCUGAGCUGGUUGACUUCCAAAACCUGACCAAAUCCAACGCCCGGCACAACCUGGAGCAUGCGUUCAGCGUGGC
Long non-coding RNA from Pygoscelis adeliae (Adelie penguin), 316 nucleotides. RefSeq lists it as uncharacterized. The record is from RefSeq and is a predicted model, not a curated record. NCBI's taxonomy places the organism in Eukaryota, Metazoa, Chordata, Aves, Sphenisciformes, Spheniscidae. The transcript is spliced from 4 exons.